This 371-nucleotide ribosomal RNA is filed under the name uncultured organism. RNAcentral describes it as "partial 16S ribosomal RNA". It matches the Rfam family "Bacterial small subunit ribosomal RNA", at positions 527 to 896 of the family's 1533-position model. The record is from RNAcentral.
GUAGGUGGCAAGCGUUGUCCGGAAUUAUUGGGCGUAAAGCGCGCGCAGGCGGUUCUUUAAGUCUGAUGUGAAAGCCCACGGCUCAACCGCGGAGGGUCAUUGGAAACUGGAGAACUUGAGUACAGAAGAGGAAAGCGGAAUUCCACGUGUAGCGGUGAAAUGCGUAGAGAUGUGGAGGAACACCAGUGGCGAAGGCGGCUUUCUGGUCUGUAACUGACGCUGAGGCGCGAAAGCGUGGGGGAGCAAACAGGAUUAGAUACCCUGGUAGUCCACGCCGUAAACGAUGAGUGCUAAGUGUUAGGGGGUUUCCGCCCCUUAGUGCUGCAGCUAACGCAUUAAGCACUCCGCCUGGGAGUACGGCCGCAAGGCUG